Molecule: long non-coding RNA, 640 nt
Filed under: Homo sapiens (human)
Lineage: Eukaryota; Metazoa; Chordata; Mammalia; Primates; Hominidae
Description: HSALNT0326650
Source: RNAcentral
AAAAAAAGAAAAGUUUGGCUUCACAAGGAUUAAAGCAACACAAAUAACUAUAAAGUUUCAUUAACUAUUCCCGAUAAAUUGACAAAAUCAAGCUCACAGUGGUAGACAGCUGAUUCUCAGUGGAAAAGGACAAAGGAUCCGUCAGACAUGUCUGGUGAUACUGUAAAUCAGCAUAACCUUUGAUGGGACACAGUCACGCAAAAUGUGACAACCAUAAAAUUCUGACCAGCAAUUCCACUUUUGAAAACAGCCCCAAAGAGACAGGACAAAGCCAUGUAGGAAGUGCCUUUUGCCUCCCACCAUGAUUCUGAGGCCUCCCCAGCCAUUGGAACUGAGGAGGAGAGACACCAGGGUUGUGUGGGCACAGAGGGAUGACCAUGUGAAGAGGCAGCAAAAGGAAGGCCACCUGCAAACCAGCCCUGCUGCCACCUUGACACUGGACUUCCAGCCUCCAGAACCGUGAGAAAAUAAAUUUCUGUUGCUUAAGCCACCCAGUCUGAGGUAUUUUGUUAUGGCAGCCCAAGCACACGAAUACGCUACAUGACGCCUUCCCCACCUUCCCACUACCAGACCAGUGUCUCUGCUCUUAAUAUUGUUUUAAACUUAAGAUAUAAUCAAACAAAUGGAUCUUAGAUCUACA